CGCGUGCGUGUGAUGUAAUUUCGUCAUCAGCAGCGGACAUCUUGGGACUUGUCGCGACAUUUAGCAGUCUUCAAUUUUCGCGCUCAACUCCUGCACGCUACGAUAUAGAAGUUGGCAACACUGCGGUUACUAGAGAAGAGGACAUCAAAAGGGUAUAUCCAAACAGUGAGGUGCAUGCUGUUCUGUCAAAGUAUCAAGAGGGAAAGUCUCUGGUCCUGUGCAUCCUGCAACUCUUAAUGGCCCAUUUUAAAGAGAGAACAGAAUCCCUUCUAUUUGAAGCUGAUUUAAGUAAUAUAAUUUAGAUUUUAGAGUUUAACUGGUAAUGCAAAAUAUUUUUAUUUAUUUUUUAGGUAGCAGCAACUGCAACCGACAUGGAAAAAAAUGGAUUACCGGAUUCACCCGCACUGAUCUUUCAAGAUGAAUCCAUGACCCCUAGCAAGUGGAUGUUGUCAGUCGAAAGGGAAGUUGUCUUUGGCCCAUGUUCAGAGGCAUUUGUUGAGGGCCUGGCAGCAUUGUUUGCGACCUAUUACAACUUAAACCUUGCUUAUCAGGAUGAAGCUGCAUGCACCCUAGAAUUUAUUCAGAGGUAUGUCAGAACAAACUCUUACUGAAUAUUUAUUGUAGACAUCCAAAUUUCCAUUACUUUUUUUAGGUUUACAGGUUUGGAUGGCUUAUCAGGAUUAGAUGUUUUUUGGAAAAGUUUUCAAACCGCAAAAAAAUGCUUACUGCACACUGAAUUGAGUACAUACAACCAAAGUCCAGCAAAAAUAUUUUAUAAAAAAAUCUAUUACAAAAUAUGCAAACAAAUAUAAAACUAUACAAAUAAUGCAGAACCAUAAAAAAAAAUUAUUAGAAAAAAUAACAAAAAUAACAGGGGAAAAAAGGGCA
This 888-nucleotide long non-coding RNA is filed under the name Sinocyclocheilus grahami. RNAcentral describes it as "lncRNA (ENSSGRG00000000395.1)". The record is from RNAcentral. Lineage: Eukaryota; Metazoa; Chordata; Actinopteri; Cypriniformes; Cyprinidae.